GUAAUUAUCCAGUUGAUAUUUAUCUUGUUCCAGUCACCUUAAGAAAGCUGUUUGGUUUUGGAAAUCACUAGUGGGUAAAAAAGACCAAUUUGCAACUAGGCUGUCAUGCUCUGUUGAAAACUAUGUCACAAUAUCACAAUACUAGAUGUUGGGCUCAAGACAGCAAACAGAAAGCAGCAAGGGCAGUGACUGGAAGCUGGGAGAGAGGGUCAACAGCUGAAU
RNAcentral lists this non-coding RNA (222 nucleotides) under Pongo abelii (Sumatran orangutan). The record is from RNAcentral. Lineage: Eukaryota; Metazoa; Chordata; Mammalia; Primates; Hominidae.